UACGGGGGGAGCAAGCGUUGUUCGGAUUUACUGGGCGUAAAGGGCGCGUAGGCGGCCAGCACAAGUCAGUUGUGAAAUCUCCGAGCUUAACUCGGAAAGGUCAACUGAUACUGUGCGGCUAGAGUGCAGAAGGGGCAACUGGAAUUCUUGGUGUAGCGGUGAAAUGCGCAGAUAUCAGGAGGAACACCAAUGGCGAAGGCAGCUCGCUGGGACGGUACUGACGCUCAGGCACGAAAGCGUGGGGAGCAAACAGG
This 254-nucleotide ribosomal RNA is filed under the name uncultured bacterium. RNAcentral describes it as "partial 16S ribosomal RNA". It matches the Rfam family "Bacterial small subunit ribosomal RNA", at positions 524 to 776 of the family's 1533-position model. The record is from RNAcentral.